UAGGUUUCUCGGUGACUUAAUUUGACUACAUAGGCAUUUCUUUUCGGUGAUAUUCAGUUCAGAUCCAGACAAGUAAGCGUGAGUGUGUGUGUGUGUGUGUGUGUGUGUGUGUGUGUGUGUGUGUUAUGAGAUUCUUAAAUUGCCAAUCUUCCACUGACUGCUUGUAGUAGAUCCCAGUUGAGUGUGGUUACCCUGAGAACUGUAGCAAUCGCCCCAUUAGAGCAUGCUGCACAGGGGAGUUCUUUACAGUCUGUUUUUAAUGCUGUUUAAUGAAGGAUCGGGCACCUCACUCUGCAAUGAGAGAAGCAGGAGAAAAGACAGAGCCUGUGAGGCUGUGAAGACUGCAGAGCAGAGGGGAAUGGAAAGACGCCCCUUGAGUGGAUGGCAAGGCCUGACAUUUUCUAAGCCAGCUCGGCAGAGACACCUUGAAUAAGAGACUGGGUAAGAAUGAUUCAGAAAUCCCGACCCACACAGAAUUCCACCCAGAACUUCAUUACCUG
Molecule: long non-coding RNA, 500 nt
Filed under: Cricetulus griseus (Chinese hamster)
Lineage: Eukaryota; Metazoa; Chordata; Mammalia; Rodentia; Cricetidae
Description: lncRNA (ENSCGRG00000024419.1)
Source: RNAcentral